AACGAACGCUGGCGGCAUGCCUAACACAUGCAAGUCGAACGAGACCUUCGGGUCUAGUGGCGCAUGGGUGCGUAACGCGUGGGAACCUGCCCUUAGGUUCGGAAUAACUCUCCGAAAGGGGUGCCAAUACCGGAUAAUGUCUUCGGACCAAUGAUUUAUCGCCCUUGGAUGGGCCCGCGUUGGAUUAGCUAGUUGGUAGGGUAAAAGCCUACCAAGGCGACGAUCCAUAGCUGGUUAGAGAGGAUGAUUAGCCACACUGAGACUGAGACGCGGCCCAGACUCCUACGGGAGGCGGCAGUGGGGAAUAUUGGACAGUGGGCGGAAGCCUGAUCCAGCAAUGCCGCGUGAGUGAUGAAGGCCUUAGGGUUGUAAAGCGCUUUUACCCGGGAUGAUAAUGACAGUACCGGAAGAAUAAGCUCCGGCUAACUCCGUG
Molecule: ribosomal RNA, 433 nt
Filed under: uncultured bacterium
Lineage: Bacteria
Description: partial 16S ribosomal RNA
Rfam family: Bacterial small subunit ribosomal RNA
Source: RNAcentral